RNAcentral lists this ribosomal RNA (255 nucleotides) under uncultured bacterium. RNAcentral's name for it is "partial 16S ribosomal RNA". It matches the Rfam family "Bacterial small subunit ribosomal RNA", at positions 524 to 776 of the family's 1533-position model. The record is from RNAcentral.
UACAGAGGUCUCAAGCGUUGUUCGGAUUCAUUGGGCGUAAAGGGUGCGUAGGUGGCGCCGUAAGUCAGGUGUGAAAUUUCGGAGCUUAACUCCGAAACUGCAUUUGAUACUGCGGUGCUUGAGGACUGGAGAGGAGACUGGAAUUUACGGUGUAGCAGUGAAAUGCGUAGAGAUCGUAAGGAAGACCAGUGGCGAAGGCGGGGUCGUCUGGACAGUUCCUGACACUGAGGCACGAAGGCCAGGGGAGCAAACGGG